CCGUUGUCCGGGUGUUGGAAGUCCCGGUCCUUGCAUUGGAGAAGGCGCUUAGGCAAAUCCGGGCGCGGAAUUCAAGGGUGUGAGGCGAGCGGCUUAGGCCGCGAAGCAAUCGGAAGUGGUUCCAAGAAAAGCCUCUAAGCUUCAGUCUAACAAGACCGUACCGCAAACCGACACAGGUGGGCGAGAUGAGUAUUCUAAGGCGCUUGAGAGAACUCGGGAGAAGGAACUCGGCAAAUUGGUACCGUAACUUCGGGAUAAGGUACGCCCUUGUAGCUUGACUGGCCUGCGCCAGGAGGGUGAGAGGGUUGCAAUAAACUGGUGGCUGCGACUGUUUAAUAAAAACACAGCACUCUGCAAACACGAAAGUGGACGUAUAGGGUGUGACGCCUGCCCGGUGCCGGAAGAUUAAAUGAUGGGGUGCAAGCUCUUGAUUGAAGUCCCGGUAAACGGCGGCCGUAACAAUAACGGUCCUAAGGUAGCGAAAUUCCUUGUCGGGUAAGUUCCGACCUGCACGAAUGGCGUAACGAUGGCCACACUGUCUCCUCCCGAGACUCAGCGAAGUUGAAGUGUUUGUGAUGAUGCAAUCUCCCCGCGGCUAGACGGAAAGACCCCAUGAACCUUUACUGUAGCUUUGCAUUGGACUUUGAACCGAUCUGUGUAGGAUAGGUGGGAGGCUAUGAAACCGGAACGCUAGUUUCGGUGGAGCCGUCCUUGAAAUACCACCCUGGUUUGUUUGAGGUUCUAACCUUGUCCGUUAUCCGGACUGGGGACAGUGCAUGGUAGGCAGUUUGACUGGGGCGGUCUCCUCCCAAAGUGUAACGGAGGAGUACGAAGGUACGCUAGGUACGGUCGGAAAUCGUGCUGAUAGUGCAAUGGCAUAAGCGUGCUUAACUGCGAGACCGACAAGUCGAGCAGGUGCGAAAGCAGGUCAUAGUGAUCCGGUGGUUCUGUAUGGAAGGGCCAUCGCUCAACGGAUAAAAGGUACUCUGGGGAUAACAGGCUGAUACCGCCCAAGAGUUCAUAUCGACGGCGGUGUUUGGCACCUCGAUGUCGGCUCAUCUCAUCCUGGGGCUGUAGCCGGUCCCAAGGGUAUGGCUGUUCGCCAUUUAAAGAGGUACGUGAGCUGGGUUUAAAACGUCGUGAGACAGUUUGGUCCCUAUCUGCCGUGGGCGUUGGAUAUUUGAAGGGGGCUGCUCCUAGUACGAGAGGACCGGAGUGGACGAACCUCUGGUGUACCGGUUGUCACGCCAGUGGCAUCGCCGGGUAGCUAUGUUCGGAAGAGAUAACCGCUGAAAGCAUCUAAGCGGGAAACUCGCCUUAAGAUGAGAUAUCCCCGGGGACUUGAUCCCCUUGAAGGGUCGUUCUAGACCAGGACGUUGAUAGGUCAGGUGUGGAAGUGAAAAAC
RNAcentral lists this ribosomal RNA (1405 nucleotides) under metagenome. RNAcentral describes it as "bacterial LSU rRNA". It matches the Rfam family "Bacterial large subunit ribosomal RNA", at positions 1484 to 2881 of the family's 2925-position model. The record is from RNAcentral.